CACCCAGAAAGUGCCAGGUCCCCCUAUUGUCCAUGCUGCCAUCUUUGUGUUGAGCGGCAUCCUUCAGUGCCAUUUGGUUCUGACUUCAGCUUCAUCAUUGCUUCCAGGGCGAGCUGCAUGUCUCCAAACUCUUCAACCAUCCCAAUAUCAUGCCAUAUCGAGCCACUUUUAUUGCAGACAAUGAGCUGUGGGUUGUCACAUCAUUCAUGGCAUACGGUGAGUGGGAAAGGGUUCUUGGUAGAAAGGGGUUAUUGGGACUCUGUUGUCAGAUUGCCUGUGUUUUCCUCCUCCAUUACCUUUCACUGCCUCCAUGCAAUCCUUUUCUGCAGGUUCUGCAAAAGAUCUCAUCUGUACACACUUCAUGGAUGGCAUGAAUGAGCUGGCGAUUGCUUACAUCCUGCAGGGGGUGCUGAAGGCCCUCGACUACAUCCACCACAUGGGAUAUGUACACAGGAGUGUCAAAGCCAGCCACAUCCUGAUCUCUGUGGAUGGGAAGGUCUACCUGUCUGGUUUGCGCAGCAACCUCAGCAUGAUAAGCCACGGGCAGCGGCAGCGAGUGGUCCACGAUUUUCCCAAGUACAGUGUCAAGGUUCUGCCGUGGCUCAGCCCCGAGGUCCUCCAGCAGAAUCUCCAGGGUUAUGAUGCCAAGUCUGACAUCUACAGUGUGGGAAUCACAGCCUGUGAACUGGCCAACGGCCAUGUCC
RNAcentral lists this small RNA (704 nucleotides) under Pan troglodytes (chimpanzee). RNAcentral describes it as "retained intron". The record is from RNAcentral. Lineage: Eukaryota; Metazoa; Chordata; Mammalia; Primates; Hominidae.